Molecule: ribosomal RNA, 440 nt
Filed under: uncultured bacterium
Lineage: Bacteria
Description: partial 16S ribosomal RNA
Rfam family: Bacterial small subunit ribosomal RNA
Source: RNAcentral
CCUACGGGCGGCAGCAGUGGGGAAUAUUGCACAAUGGGGGGAACCCUGAUGCAGCAACGCCGCGUGGGUGAAGAAGUAUUUCGGUAUGUAAAGCUCUGUCAGCAGGGAAGAAGAUGACGGUACCUGACUAAGAAGCCCCGGCUAACUACGUGCCAGCAGCCGCGGUAAUACGUAGGGGGCAAGCGUUAUCCGGAUUUACUGGGUGUAAAGGGAGCGUAGACGGCAGAACAAGUCUGGAGUGAAAGGCCGGGGCUUAACCACGGGACUGCUCUGGAAACUGUGGAGCUAGAGUGCAGGAGGGGUAAGCGGAAUUCCUAGUGUAGCGGUGAAAUGCGUAGAUAUUAGGAGGAACACCAGUGGCGAAGGCGGCUUACUGGACUGUAACUGACGUUGAGGCUCGAAAGCGUGGGGAGCAAACAGGAUUAGAUACCCCAGUAGUC